UAGGGAAUCUUCGGCAAUGGGGGGAACCCUGACCGAGCAACGCCGCGUGAGUGAAGAAGGUUUUCGGAUCGUAAAGCUCUGUUGUUAAGGAAGAACGAGUGUGAGAAUGGAAAGUUCAUACUGUGACGGUACUUAACCAGAAAGGGACGGCUAACUACGUGCCAGCAGCCGCGUUAAUACGUAGGUCCCGAGCGUUGUCCGGAUUUAUUGGGCGUAAAGCGAGCGCAGGCGGUCAAUUAAGUCUGAUGUGAAAGCCCCCGGCUCAACCGGGGAGGGUCAUUGGAAACUGGUUGACUUGAGUGCAGAAGAGGAGAGUGGAAUUCCAUGUGUAGCGGUGAAAUGCGUAGAUAUAUGGAGGAACACCAGUGGCGAAGGCGACUCUCUGGUCUGUAACUGACGCGGAGGCUCGAAAGCGUGGGGAGCGAACAGG
RNAcentral lists this ribosomal RNA (430 nucleotides) under Bacteroidota bacterium. Its description in RNAcentral is "Bacteroidetes bacterium partial 16S ribosomal RNA". It matches the Rfam family "Bacterial small subunit ribosomal RNA", at positions 355 to 776 of the family's 1533-position model. Lineage: Bacteria; Pseudomonadati; Bacteroidota. The record is from RNAcentral.